UUUAUUUCAAAAAAAGUCUUUUAAUUGUUCAAAAUAGCACAAAACGACAUUGCACUAUGGUAAUAUUGUGUCACGGGGGUUACUCUACAAUAGAACGGGCGUACCGUUCUUAGAAACGAUAAAUCAAAGGGUGCUUGGGACGAGGGACAGGGAAACAAUGAAACCAGGCGAAUGGGCUCCAGGGUGAAAAUGUUCCCCUAAACAUGACAUUUGCCACAC
Molecule: long non-coding RNA, 219 nt
Organism: Myotis brandtii (Brandt's bat)
Lineage: Eukaryota; Metazoa; Chordata; Mammalia; Chiroptera; Vespertilionidae
Exons: 4
Source: RefSeq, a predicted model, not a curated record